UCCAGUGAGACCAACAAAAUUUGUUCAUGGUUCCGUGCGCCCUAUUUCUGUGCUGUUCUGUUGUUGCUAGAAAUUGAAGCUCAGGUCUUUAUCUGAGUUAGGUAUCUGUAGUUCGGUGUAACGGCUGACAGCACCCCAAAUCGCAGUUAAGCCCCCCCUCGACUAACUGGCUGACUGAUUUAGUGGUGUUGGUGUUAAUCCCAUCCCUAAGAUAAAACCUAGUCUGGAAUGUGCCACAUCCCCCGAUAAGGCCGCAAAAGUGACUUUCGGAAGCGUCACAUGUAUCAAACAAUGAUCCAUCGAUUAACAGAAAUUCCAACAUCGCUCAAUAAUGAGUAACUCACUUUGUGGAAUUACCUUGCGUUUCAUCCAACUUUGGGUUCAAAACAUCAUUGAGUCACGCCACAGCCGAGAGCCGGGACUUGCCCGACCAGUUUCCAGCAACAUCAACAGCCGUGUAACAGCCGUCCAUGAAUGAACUCGCUCGGCGGCCCCACAAGGUCUUUUCCGAUGGGUUUGACUUCUGCGCGAGAUUCCACCAGAAGCAACAAAAAAGGAGAAGAAAAAUGACAUCAUCGUCCUUCUCCAGCAGCAGCAGUGAAAGCAGAUCAAUACCAAAUGUUUUUGGAACUGUGUUGUUUUUUUUUGGAACUGAUUCAAUUCUUGCUCGCGACUAGUUGCACUAAUUGACUCUGUGCGCUAUUUUUAGAACUGGUUUAAGUUUGGAACGAGCGGUCUCAGUCCCAAUCCCAAAAGAGAAAGAGAGAACUAAAGUCAAGCCACAUCGACAUCAACACUUACCUCAAAAAGUUUGCUGUGUCAAUUGCGUCGCUCCAAAACAAGCUUAAAAACUGCGUUCUUCAAAUCUCCAACGUAAUCCGGAACCACCGAAUCGACUCGAAUCCGCGACGAAACCACUACUUUUCCCGUACAACUUCCGCAAAUCGAGCAAAAAUAAAAAA
Long non-coding RNA from Culex quinquefasciatus (southern house mosquito), 962 nucleotides. RefSeq lists it as uncharacterized. The record is from RefSeq and is a predicted model, not a curated record. NCBI's taxonomy places the organism in Eukaryota, Metazoa, Arthropoda, Insecta, Diptera, Culicidae. The transcript is spliced from 2 exons.